CGUGCAUGCGUUCGCUCUGCAUGGCCCGUCCGUGCCCACCAGGCAUCGCUUACCACCGCCCACCAAACGCCAUCGCUCCGCGCAUGGGCUGGAACCCCUCAUCGUCGUCAUCCGCGUAAUCGUCCUCAUCAUCAAUGUCGUCCGCCUGGUUGCGCCCUGGCUCCUCCAGCGGGUUCAGCUUGGACUCCACAAGGCUCUCCUCCGCAAACAGGCGCUUCAUGUUCAUGAAUGACAGUUGCGACAGGUUGCGCACCACCAGGUCUGCACCCGUGAAGUCGAACACGGGGUUCGUGCCUGUGUUGAGGCAAGAGAGCGAGGGACCAGGUGCAUCGGGUCACGCGUUGUGGUGCGGCAAGAUUGAAGGCAAAUGUAAGCGCAUAGUGCAAGACAUGAUCAAGCACAAGCGUCCGCACGCCACAGGCGCGGAAGCCCCACCCCAGCCCUGCAGUGCUUUCACUC
Molecule: long non-coding RNA, 459 nt
Filed under: Chlamydomonas reinhardtii
Lineage: Eukaryota; Viridiplantae; Chlorophyta; Chlorophyceae; Chlamydomonadales; Chlamydomonadaceae
Description: long non-coding RNA (CREI_LNC000301)
Source: RNAcentral